AUUGAACGCUGGCGGUAGGCCUAACACAUGCAAGUCGAACGCGAAAGUCCUUCGGAUGAGUAGAGUGGCGGACGGGUGGAGUAACGCGUAGGAAUCUAUCCUGUAGUGGGGGAGUAACGUUUCGAAAGGAACGCUAAUACCGCAUACGCCCCAAGGGGGAAAGCGGGGGAGUCUUCGGACCUCGUGCUAUAGGAGGAGCCUGCGUCGGAUUAGCUAGUUGGUGAGGUAAAGGCUCACCAAGGCGACGAUCCGUAGCUGGUCUGAGAGGAUGAUCAGCCACACCGGAACUGAGACACGGUCCGGACUCCUACGGGAGGCAGCAGUGGGGAAUAUUGCGCAAUGGGCGAAAGCCUGACGCAGCCAUACCGCGUGUGUGAAGAAGGCCUUCGGUUC
This 393-nucleotide ribosomal RNA is filed under the name uncultured bacterium. Its description in RNAcentral is "bacterial SSU rRNA". It matches the Rfam family "Bacterial small subunit ribosomal RNA", at positions 30 to 424 of the family's 1533-position model. The record is from RNAcentral.